UACGUAGGGGGCAAGCGUUGUCCGGAAUUAUUGGGCGUAAAGAGCGCGUAGGCGGUCCGAUAAGUCGGCUGUGAAAGUCAGGGGCUCAACCCUUGAAAGCCGGCCGAUACUGUCGGACUAGAGUCCGGAAGAGGCAAGUGGAAUUCCCGGUGCAGCGGUGAAAUGCGCAGAUAUCGGGAGGAACACCAAUGGCGAAGGCAGCUUGCUGGGACGGUACUGACGCUGAGGCGCGAAAGCGUGGGGAGCAAACAGG
This 253-nucleotide ribosomal RNA is filed under the name uncultured bacterium. Its description in RNAcentral is "partial 16S ribosomal RNA". It matches the Rfam family "Bacterial small subunit ribosomal RNA", at positions 524 to 776 of the family's 1533-position model. The record is from RNAcentral.